RNAcentral lists this ribosomal RNA (498 nucleotides) under uncultured bacterium. RNAcentral's name for it is "partial 16S ribosomal RNA". It matches the Rfam family "Bacterial small subunit ribosomal RNA", at positions 30 to 523 of the family's 1533-position model. The record is from RNAcentral.
AUUGAACGCUGGCGGCAUGCCUUACACAUGCAAGUCGAACGGCAGCGGACCUUCGGGUGCCGGCGAGUGGCGAACGGGUGAGUAAUGCAUCGGAACGUACCUUUCAGUGGGGGAUAACGUAGCGAAAGUUACGCUAAUACCGCAUAUUCUGUGAGCAGGAAAGCAGGGGAUCGCAAGACCUUGCGCUGAUUGAGCGGCCGAUGUCAGAUUGGCUAGUUGGUGGGGUAAAGGCUCACCAAGGCGACGAUCUGUAGCGGGUCUGAGAGGAUGAUCCGCCACACUGGAACGGGGACACGGUCCAGACUCCUACGGGAGGCAGCAGUGGGGAAUUUUGUGCGAUGGGGGCAACCCUGAUUCAGCCAUGCCGCGUGAGUGAAGAAGGCCUUCGGGUUGUAAAGCUCUUUCGGCCGGGAAGAAAUCGCACGGGCUAAUACCCUGUGUGGAUGACGGUACCGGAAUAAGAAGCACCGGCUAACUACGUGCCAGCCGCCGCCGUAA